This 410-nucleotide long non-coding RNA is filed under the name Solanum tuberosum (potato). RNAcentral's name for it is "long non-coding RNA (STUB_LNC010042)". Lineage: Eukaryota; Viridiplantae; Streptophyta; Magnoliopsida; Solanales; Solanaceae. The record is from RNAcentral.
AAUCAGGAAAACUCAUACAAAUAUCCAGAGAAGCAGAAAUUCAAAAUGGCCGUUUUAGCAUUCAAUUACAAAAAUAAACGACGGGCAAUAAUUACUAACCUAACAGUUCCUCCGCUAUCAUCAUUGACUUUAGAACAUAAUAACUAUGCAUAUAAUGUAAUUAAGUAGAAAACAGCCACGAAUUGGAGAAGUCCAUAAACGACAUUUUAAGUCAUACACAAGCCAAAACAGUAAGUUGAGAUGACUGCAAAACAAAAAGAUUAUGUUCCCCAACCCAACCUUACAGUGAUUUAGACACAUUCAAAUUCAAACAACAAUCAUUUUAAGAAAGUAAGUUUUUAUGCCCACUCUAUUCUUAGCUCGAAACAGACUCGGGAACAAUGCUUUACAAGCAUAAAGACGUACUAAUU